GGAGAUUCUUAGUAUAUGGAGUUAGUAAAUGGAGAGUCUUCCAUUUAUGGCUAAUCAGACCUGGCUUCCUGGCCUGGAUGAUGUUAAGGUCCUCUUUCUGAUCUGUGCAGGAAGAAAUAAGCUAAGAUUUAUUUGGCAUGUAGCAGACCUGAAGUUAGACCCGAAGGUAACAGCUCAGACUGUUCUUUCUUUAGAUAAUGAUUAUGCAGGGAAAAGCAAGGAGUUGAUUUUAAAAAUCAAAAUUAGUUCUGUCACAAAAGAACAGAGCUCAUACCCAAAGGGAAGAAAAGUAACCUUAAUUGGUGUGACCUUCUGCUGUUACUCAGAAGCCUUUGGAGUCUGUCCCUGAGGUGGGUACCUUAUGGAUUAGCCAAUAUGUAACCAACAUAUAAAAGAGUGGAACUUUAGACAUACACUGGGGAGGCUGAAACUCUAAACUUCUAAUUUCUAACCCUCUACCAGUGAGUCAAGUGGCUUAAAGUAUGUCAUGGGAACACUGGGUAACCUAUUAACAGCACAAACAAAAACAACAUGCUCAAAUGCUUUCAAAGAAAGACAUUUUAAACACAAGAUAUUAUCAUUAUUGUACUUAGAAUAAGGAAAUAAAGCCCAUUGCUAUAGUCCUAAAAUAUUUCCUCUGGAGCUUAAUUUUCCCAGUAUUUAAUGAAUGUUUUGGUCCAUUUCCUUGCAAAUGUGUGAGAAGGCCAGAGGAGUAGAAGAAGGUGGGGCCCUGGAUUAUCAAAGAAUAACACGGUAGGAAAAUAUAGGAGCAUUUAGAUAUUCAAAAUCUAAAGUUUGCCACUGAACUACAUUUAUUAUUUAUAGAUUAUUUUUAAGACUUAGAAGUUGUCUUCUGAUGUUUGGGUAGCUAGAAAGGUA
RNAcentral lists this long non-coding RNA (879 nucleotides) under Bos taurus (domestic cattle). RNAcentral's name for it is "long non-coding RNA NONBTAT023981". The record is from RNAcentral. Lineage: Eukaryota; Metazoa; Chordata; Mammalia; Artiodactyla; Bovidae.